Molecule: long non-coding RNA, 1363 nt
Filed under: Anser brachyrhynchus (Pink-footed goose)
Lineage: Eukaryota; Metazoa; Chordata; Aves; Anseriformes; Anatidae
Description: lncRNA (ENSABRG00000017239.1)
Source: RNAcentral
GGCAGGAACAACACCGGGAGUCUGGUUUAAAUUGCAAAAAUGAGCGAACUUGGAAAGUGAGCCUGAGCGCUCUGGUCAGCCGGGCCAAGCUAAAAACUUGGCAUGUGCUUUUUGCCCAGAUUUCCUCGAUGGAGCCUGGAGAACUUGAAGCAGUGCCAGGAGCCCAGGGGAGUGAGAGGUGAUGCAGAGCAGUGCAGCCUCUGCAGGCUGCACAUCCCCGCUUCUCCUCUUGCUGCUGUUCCUGGGAAUUUGUCAGCAAGGAAGUUCCUUACGUCCGGCACGCAAGUAGCAGUGUGGGAGGACAUCCGUGGGCAUGCAGGGGAAUCUCGUGUGUGUUGUCACCACAGCCCCGGCCCGAAGGCAGGUGUGGGGACAUGAGGGUCGCCUUUGCUGCCUGACCUCCAGCAGGACCAUCCUCUAAAGCUGGAUGAGCUGCGGUCAGUCUGAUAAACCUCCCAAACGUGGCCUCGGUGGUGUCAGUGGGCACAUGAACAGGGAAUCAGCGCUACGUGUGUACAGAUACCUUCUAACCUCGGGCAGUGAACAGUGGCCUCAAAAUGGCUUUUGUGUCUGCAGGGGAGGGGACACCAGUACCGGGGCCAGGAGGCAGCUGAGAUGAGUCCUUCCCAUGUAGGGAUGGGGGGAGCUUGGGCAGGAGCACGGGGGCAGCAGGAGGGGGAUUUGCUGGACUGGCACAGCUCUGGUCCUGCUCCGCAUUGCUCCAGCUUGGUAUCGGUGUGAGAGAUCUCCUCUGCCCAUCCCCUGCCCUGAGGAUCAGGACACACUUAAUAAUACUGUUUCACACCAAUGAAAGCCACCUAAUUUUACUGAAUAUUUUUUAGUUUACCUUUUAUUUUGGGAGUGAGUAUGAUGGAUGGCUUGAUGUUUUUAAAGACAUUUUACAGCUGUUUGACCACAGGAAACAUUUUGUCAGCAGUGUUUUGUAAAGAGGCAGGGGGACUGGUGAUGCCAGAAAAUGGCCUGCUCUCUGAAUACACAGCGAGACACGAGGGCAGCAGCUGUUCCGGAGGCUCCCAGUGCACAGAGUCCAGCAGCAUGGUUGAGAGCAGCUGGGUCCCCUGUGAGUCCUGGGGUUUCAGAUCAGAGGAAGGAGCUGCAGGAAAAACAGAGCCUGAAAUGGCCAGCUGAACUGCCAGGUAAGAUGCUGGGAGCUUACAGGGUGUGUGAGCUCCUUCAGCCUGGGCGGCUUCUCUGUCCGAGCUGGUCCAGUUCCACUGGGAGCUCUGGUAUCCUCGGACGUGCUUAGGAAAAGCUGCGGUUAGCUAAGCACGUAAAUGAGAUGGGCUGCUUCCCUCCACCUUUCCAGAGCAGCUCACGGACUAAUUUAGGUCAGAAAGGGGCU